RNAcentral lists this long non-coding RNA (2319 nucleotides) under Nicotiana tabacum (common tobacco). Its description in RNAcentral is "long non-coding RNA (NTAB_LNC005782)". Lineage: Eukaryota; Viridiplantae; Streptophyta; Magnoliopsida; Solanales; Solanaceae. The record is from RNAcentral.
UACGGGUUGCCUUUACGUAAGUAAUCAUCAAUUGAAAGAAAACUCAAACUUUUCACAAAAAUGGAUUAGGAACAAUGCACGAGCAGAUCAGAUAGGAUGACACUUUCUGAAAGCAACUGCUUUAGGGUAUUUCUUUAAUUCCUUACUCUUUUUAGCAUUACUUUUCCUCUUCUACUGUGUUUUGUUUUGUAAACUCGCGCAUAAUUUGUUAAGGAGUUUUAGAGACAGAUGGAGAAAAUUUCAAAUUGAUCCCUAUUAUAUAGGCUAGGUUGCAAUAUUAUUCCCCACUCUAACCAUUGUUCUUAUUUGUUCCCCAAAAUUUAUGACAUAAAUACAUUUUAAAGAAGUCCUUGCUCCAAUCUAGGACCAUAUUUUCAUAAUUCUUUUCGGAAAUUCGUGACUAGCACUGGCGUUUUAGAAAGGGCAAUCUUGACACUACACAUAUUUUAUGGAUAUUGGAAAAUAUAUGAAGAUGAAAAUUGUGUCCCAUCACAUGACAAGCAAGUAAAUGUUGUUCGUGAAAUUGUGUCCUUUAUAGAAGGCCUGUGCAAGUCACAUGUUCUCAAUGAAUUGAACAAAUGAUGUCAUAGAUUGGAAAUGAAACAAUGGUUAGAAUCGAGAUAUGGCAACUUAUCCCGUUUAGAAAUGAUUUAACUUUUAUACAGGGAUAAUUCAAAUUAUUUAUUCAGCAUUAAUAUAUUUUAACUUAUUGUAGCAGAUAACAUGUCUCAUUUUUCAAAGUUAUUUAAGUCACUUUUUAUAAACAAAUACUUAUAAUUAUCAUUUAAUUGAUUUGAUAGUGUAAAAAUUCUUUUACAGUCAGUGUGUAUGAAGUUAAAUUCAUUUAGAAAGCCAAAUUGGCAAAUUACUUGACAGGGAAGAGGUGAAUGAGUUGAUAACUUGAUAUGCCUUGUGUGUCGAGGACCUGUUCCUGGAGCUGACUAUAUUUUGGCCUUAAUCAAAACCUUUUGUGGUUUGGUCAAAUUGGGCUACUGGGAGUUGAAAAAAUUAUAACAAGUUUGUAUCAUGAUUUAUUGUAUAAAGUUAUUAGGUCAUAGUGCAAGAACUGCACAAGAGCUGACUAAAUAUUGCCUCGAAUUGGUGCUUCUACAUGCUCCCUUUUAAUCUUCUAUCAACUGUAACAGUUAUGUUAGGAGAAUAUACUAUGAAUUUUGACUCAUUCAGAGCUCCUUUUUAUAUUGUUUCAGUUACUUCAGCUGAGUCAGUUAAAAAGUUUUGCAAAAAAUAAUAGAGAAUAGAAAAAGAAAGAAAAGAGUAACCCUUGCACAGGAUUAUAUAUUACAUUUAGCAAAAUCUACCAGCCACCGUCACAAUGUGAUUCGCAAAUGCUUUUAACAUUUAACGUUGUAACCUUUUUCAGGUGCAAAAGACUAUCGCAGCAUUUGUUAUCUGGGAUAUUGUUAUGCUUCCAGAUUGCUGCUUCCACGUCUCUGCCUUAGUCUUCCAGCAAUGCUACCAAUGACUUGUGCAGCAGCUCGACAAGGCUUCUUUUUCGACUUUGAACUUGCUUCUGGUGCAACCAUACCAACCAAAAUACCACAGUUUUUGUCAUCUGGGACAUAAGUGCCAUCCUCUUUUUCUUCGUUUGAUUGCUUUUUCCCAGCAUCACUUUCAAGUGGUGACACGCCAUUGUAGCCAUCACUUAACUCGGUAAGCAUAAGUGCACUUGAAGUCAAUGCACUGCCUAUAGCAUUUUCAUUUCCUGGUUUGUUGUCCGCUGAGGAGUUCCCUACAUUGUCACAUGAGAGCACCAGAUUUGUACCACAGUUUUUGGAGUCAUUAUUCAGUAGUAAUGAGGGUUCACCGCUAGACUCAGCAGCAAAAGCACGCUUCAGUGAGGGCUCUGUGCUACUUUCUGGUGCUAAAUUGUUCUCAUUAGGAUCAUGUUCCAUUGUUUUCACCUCGGUUUGAGCAUUCAUCGCCAGCCCUUGUGACUCACUGUUGUAGUUGCAAAAUUCCUCAUUUUUCAUUGUAGCUUCCAUAUCUGAGAAAGGUAAUGAUCUUUUUGCAGAGAAUGGCGUCAAGUUGUUUUCAGAACUGACACUAGCUCGAUGGGUUUGAAUUAGAUAAUGUGCAACUGACUUGUAACCCAAUCUUGCAAUCUGGAUAGGUUGAACAAUCAAGAGUUUUGAAAAUGGAAAAGGGGUAAAAAGGAAAGAUAUGACAAAGAGAUUGAAAGAACAAUCAAAAGUUUGUAACAUGAAAUUCUUAUAAAGAGUAUUACCUUCUUAUAAAAAGGACCAGUAGGAGCCCAUCCUUUUGCUUGCCGGCACAAGCUGCAGUUGCAAAUUCCUCGAC